GGUUUCUUGACGAUCUCUUGGGUGAGCGCUAUGUGACUCGGCCUUCUCUCUCGCUUUUCUUCACAUCACUCUUAGGAAAGGCUGCUAGCUAUUUUCCUCCAGAUGACAUGAGGACCCUAUCAUCCCUGGAUCACUUCUUAGUGUCUGUGGGAGCAGUGAAAAAAACUGUCUCGGGUCGCAAAAGAUGACAUGAUUACCAAUGUAUACUUAUUACUAGUACUGGAAAUUAAAUGAUUUAGCAAAGGAUUUUACACUCACAGAAAUUGUAAAC
RNAcentral lists this unclassified non-coding RNA (271 nucleotides) under Hevea brasiliensis (rubber tree). Lineage: Eukaryota; Viridiplantae; Streptophyta; Magnoliopsida; Malpighiales; Euphorbiaceae. The record is from RNAcentral.